RNAcentral lists this ribosomal RNA (301 nucleotides) under uncultured bacterium. Its description in RNAcentral is "partial 16S ribosomal RNA". It matches the Rfam family "Bacterial small subunit ribosomal RNA", at positions 509 to 807 of the family's 1533-position model. The record is from RNAcentral.
CAGUCGCCGCGGGAAUACAGAGGCCUCAAGCGUUGUUCGGAUUCAUUGGGCGUAAAGGGUGCGUAGGUGGCUUGGUAAGUUGAAGGUGAAAUCUCGGGGCUUAACCCCGAAACUGCCUUUAAUACUGCUAGGCUCGAGGACUGUAGAGGAGAAUGGAAUUCACGGUGUAGCAGUGAAAUGCGUAGAUAUCGUGAGGAAGACCAGUGGCGAAGGCGAUUCUCUGGGCAGUUCCUGACACUGAGGCACGAAGGCCAGGGGAGCAAACGGGAUUAGAUACCCCUGUAGUCCCUGUCUCUUAUAC